CAGUGAUGUCAAUGUGGCUGGUCCAAGAAUCACACUUUGAGAACCACUGCUUUUGGCCAAUCUCCAUGAGAGAAAGUUCUCAACCUCUGAUUGCAAGUUUAUUUUGACCAUUUACCAUAACUUCAACUUCAAUGCUCGUCUUGAAGGGCAUGACUUGUCAUCCUAAUAUAAUUAGCCCCUCUUCCAGCAGAUCAGACCCACAAUACGCCCCAGCCUCUGGAGGACACAGAGAGAAUGGAAGUCGUGGAGAAGAAAAGAGAAAAGUCUCAGAGGACCAGGAUAUACCCUCAGGACUAGCACUGUGCCUGCCGUAGAACGGGGCCUGCUCAGUGUUUUUUGGGUUGAGCUGCAUCUUAGAAUGAAAUCCUACAACUGAGAUGGCUAAAGGAAUUAAAAAUGGUAUCUGUAAUGUUAAAUUUCAGACUGCUGCACAAUAUGUCAGUUUUAGGUACUUUUUAAAAGAUGAACAAGUACAAGACUUCAAAGAAGUCUCUCCCUUGUGAAGGGUCCCUUCCGGCUUCACUUUAGAGUCUCUGCACUUUUAGUUCAUCUCAUUUGGGUGUUUCAAGGGAACAGAGAAGCCCUGGUUUAGAUGAUGCAGGGUUUUCUGAUGCCAAAGUGAGAAUGAUAAAAUGUCUGAAGGAAGAACACGAUGCUAUGCAUUCCAGGCAGAAUCUGGACUUGAAAACAAUGAAGCACAAAUACUUUUAGAUGAACUGAUUCACUUUUAUUUUGUAAACAUCCUAGAAGAAUUCCAUUUGCACUGAACUGUUUGAAUCACUGCAGAGCUCUUGCUCCUUCUAAUCCCCAAGGAAAGUCGAUCCAUCGCGUCCUGCUACACUGUAUUUCUUCACUUUGCCCCUUUUCUCAAUUCUUUGUGAUCAGCAUAAAGUUUGAACCGUGCCUCUUCUCGCCUUCCUGCCUGGCCACCUGUCCAGCCCUGCGGUCAGCUGUACCGACCAGCAGACGGUGCCUCUCUUGCCAAGUGGAGCCGAUGCUCUGUGACCAUUGUUCGUGGGGCCACACUGCCAUCCCCAUCGUUGCCCCUUCAGGACACUCGUCAACAGCUUUGCAGGAUGGACUCUGCUGAAAAUCAAGACUAGAAUUCACUGUUAAGUCAUGCAGGAUUACAAAGACAAUGGAAUGCACGGCCUCAACAGAUGUUCUUUGCAAAGUCAAAACUCCUAAUAUGAAAGGAAUAGGAUCCUGAGACCUGGAAUAAGAAUAUUUGAGUAAACAAGCCUGCAAAUAGUAAAUCUCCAGCUUUAUGAACACUCUGGACUCAAAGGAAAAAAUCAUCUCCCUGUUUCUAAACAGCCUGCUCUUAUGCAGAAAUGCAGCAAAGGC
Molecule: long non-coding RNA, 1347 nt
Filed under: Homo sapiens (human)
Lineage: Eukaryota; Metazoa; Chordata; Mammalia; Primates; Hominidae
Description: HSALNT0326909
Source: RNAcentral